CCUACGGGAGACAGCAGUGAGGAAUAUUGGUCAAUGGGCGCGAGCCUGAACCAGCCAGGUAGCGUGAAGGAUGACUGCCCUACGGGUUGUAAACUUCGUUUAUAAAGGAAUAAAGUGAGGCACGUGUGCCUGUUUGUAUGGACUUUAUGAAUAAGGAUCGGCUAACGCCGUGCCAGCAGCCGCGGUAAUACGGAGGAUCCGAGCGUUAUCCGGAUUUAUGGGGUUGAAAGGGAGCGUAGAGGGGUUGUUAAGUCAGUUGUGAACGUUUGCGGCUCAACCGUAAAAUUGCAAUUGAUACUGGCAGUCUUGAGUACAGUUGAGGUAGGCGGACUUCGUGGUGUAGCGGUGAAAUGCUUAGAUAUCACGAAGACCUCCGAUUGCGACGGCAGCUUACUAAACUGCCCCUGACAUUGAUGCUCGAAAGUGUGGGUAUCAAACAGGAUUAGAUACCCCGGUAGUC
RNAcentral lists this ribosomal RNA (460 nucleotides) under uncultured bacterium. RNAcentral's name for it is "partial 16S ribosomal RNA". It matches the Rfam family "Bacterial small subunit ribosomal RNA", at positions 338 to 795 of the family's 1533-position model. The record is from RNAcentral.